CCUACGGGAGGCAGCAGUGGGGAAUAUUGCACAAUGGGGGAAACCCUGAUGCAGCGACGCCGCGUGAGUGAUGAAGUAUUUCGGUAUGUAAAGCUCUAUCAGCAGGGAAGAUAAUGACGGUACCUGACUAAGAAGCUCCGGCUAAAUACGUGCCAGCAGCCGCGGUAAUACGUAUGGAGCAAGCGUUAUCCGGAUUUACUGGGUGUAAAGGGAGCGCAGACGGCAGGGCAAGUCUGAUGUGAAAGUCCGGGGCUCAACCCCGGGACUGCAUUGGAAACUGUCCGGCUAGAGUGCAGGAGAGGUAGGCGGAAUUCCCGGUGUAGCGGUGAAAUGCGUAGAGAUCGGGAGGAACACCAGUGGCGAAGGCGGCCUACUGGGCUCUAACUGACGCUGAGGCACGAAAGCGUGGGUAGCAAACAGGAUUAGAUACCCUUGUAGUC
Molecule: ribosomal RNA, 440 nt
Filed under: uncultured bacterium
Lineage: Bacteria
Description: partial 16S ribosomal RNA
Rfam family: Bacterial small subunit ribosomal RNA
Source: RNAcentral